RNAcentral lists this ribosomal RNA (747 nucleotides) under Serinicoccus sp. PASCW9. RNAcentral describes it as "bacterial SSU rRNA". It matches the Rfam family "Bacterial small subunit ribosomal RNA", at positions 238 to 995 of the family's 1533-position model. Lineage: Bacteria; Bacillati; Actinomycetota; Actinomycetes; Micrococcales; Ornithinimicrobiaceae. The record is from RNAcentral.
CUAUCAGCUUGUUGGUGGGGUAAUGGCCUACCAAGGCGACGACGGGUAGCCGGCCUGAGAGGGUGACCGGCCACACUGGGACUGAGACACGGCCCAGACUCCUACGGGAGGCAGCAGUGGGGAAUAUUGCACAAUGGGCGGAAGCCUGAUGCAGCGACGCCGCGUGAGGGAUGACGGCCUUCGGGUUGUAAACCUCUUUCAGCUCUGACGAAGCUUUUGUGACGGUAGGAGCAGAAGAAGCACCGGCUAACUACGGGCCAGCAGCCGCGGUAAUACGUAGGGUGCGAGCGUUGUCCGGAAUUAUUGGGCGUAAAGAGCUUGUAGGCGGUUUGUCGCGUCUGCUGUGAAAGCCCGGGGCUUAACUCCGGGUCUGCAGUGGGUACGGGCAGGCUAGAGUGUGGUAGGGGAGACUGGAAUUCCUGGUGUAGCGGUGGAAUGCGCAGAUAUCAGGAGGAACACCGAUGGCGAAGGCAGGUCUCUGGGCCAUUACUGACGCUGAGAAGCGAAAGCGUGGGGAGCGAACAGGAUUAGAUACCCUGGUAGUCCACGCCGUAAACGUUGGGCGCUAGGUGUGGGUCCCAUUCCACGGGGUCCGUGCCGCAGCUAACGCAUUAAGCGCCCCGCCUGGGGAGUACGGCCGCAAGGCUGGGACUCAAAGGAAUUGACGGGGGCCCGCACAAGCGGCGGAGCAUGCGGAUUAAUUCGAUGCAACGCGAAGAACCUUACCAAGGCUUGACAUACACCGGA